Long non-coding RNA from Caretta caretta (loggerhead turtle), 675 nucleotides. RefSeq lists it as uncharacterized. The record is from RefSeq and is a predicted model, not a curated record. NCBI's taxonomy places the organism in Eukaryota, Metazoa, Chordata, Testudines, Cheloniidae.
CAUUAGGGGAAUGAAUAAAUUAAAAGUGUGCUCCAGCAAUUUAGUCUUCCUAAGCAGAUAUCCUGCAAGCUCUACAGAGGAUGUCAAAACCUGCUGAUAUCUAACACAGUCAACUCCAAGUUUGUGUAUCCCGGUCCACUCUACCUUUCCAUCAGGCAGUACAUGUGGAAAUGGAAAAGUAGCUCUCUAAUUAAUCAAAGUCAGAUCUGCCUGAACGCCUGGAGUUGCUGCUGAUCCUUGUCCCAGCUUCUCCCAUGUUCUCUCUCUAUGUUUUUACCUUGAAAACUUCUGCUCAGAGCUGGGAAUGCCUGAAGGGCUUGCACGAAUAGGAAAACUGAUUACCUGGCUCCAUAUUCCAUGCGCAGUUUCAUGUCACCGCACUGAUCAGAAAAGAUGGGGCUACAGGAGUGGAACUCAUUAGCUUCUCUCAGAAAACAAACCACAUCCCAGGAAAAAAAAGUGUUCCACGCAGAAUUUAUACAUGCACUUUAAGGUAGUGCACUCAUUGCUGUGGAUGGAGAAGUCUAAGGAUUGGGAGCCAGUCAGACCUAAAAAGGAAAAGAGCUAAUGGAUUGCUUUAAAAAAUUGAAAAAAAUAUGUGAAUAAGUAUGUGACAUUAUACACACUGUAAAUGGGGUAUGCAAUCUUAAAAGAAUAAAGCCAUAACAUUCUGCU